CAGCGCGAACCCACAGAGCAAUGGCAACACCGGUCAGCCAACGUGAAAGACUAACGGCUAAAGUUUACAAUUCACAGUCGGGUACAACUCCCAGCGUCGCAAGAACAAACCUGAAGUCUCCGUCAAGGAUUGGGACGGAGGAUCGAGUCACGCAUGCGCAAGAACGGGCCUACAAGCAAGUCGACAAGUCGUUAGACGUGUCUAUGUGGCGGCGGAAGUGACGUCAGAUGUCCGAGCUCCCCCUCGUGGAGAGGACAGGCAAGGACACGAGAUAUUUUUCAUGCGUAAUAUGGAUUUGUGAAACAGAUAUUAGUUUAGAUUACUUACAGCAUGGAAACAGACCCUUCAGCCCAACAAGUCUACACCGACCUGCCGAAGCGCAUUCCCCUUCACCUGACACUAUGGACAAUGGCCAAUUACUACAGACAAUUUAGCAUGCCCAAUUCACCUAACCUGCACAUUUUGGAUUGUGGGAGGAAACCGGAACACCCGGAGGAAACCCACGCAGACACGGGGAGAACGUGCAAACUCCACACAGAGAGUCACCUGAGGCGGGAAUUGAACCCGGGUCUCUGGCACUGUGAGGCAACAGUGCUAACCACUGUGCCACCAUGCUGCCCAUAUUGGUUUAAGUAAAUAAUUUUGACUUAUGUUAUUUUAACAUGUAGUUAAAAUAUAAGGUUUAUAGUAGCCUAUAGGAGUUAUGUCAUCUAAUUUAUAAUUUGUGUAAUCGAAUAGUAUAUUCUUAAUUUCUAAUUUACUGGUUUUGAUGUACAAAGGAACUAAACUUGUUAAUCUUUUUUGAAUGGGUGAAAAGGUUGUGUAGUGAUAACGUCACUAGACUACUUAUCCAGAGACCUAGGCUAAUGCUGUGGAGAAUGAGUUGAAAUUCCACAAUAGU
Molecule: long non-coding RNA, 901 nt
Organism: Hemiscyllium ocellatum (epaulette shark)
Lineage: Eukaryota; Metazoa; Chordata; Chondrichthyes; Orectolobiformes; Hemiscylliidae
Exons: 3
Source: RefSeq, a predicted model, not a curated record